UCAUUUAAGCAAGGAGUCAGCUACGAUAUAUGCGCUAGUGUCGUCUCGGRGAUGUUGKCCAAGCAGCUGAUUUUGACAACAACGAACUCUCAAAUCGACCUGUGUACUUUCAUUUUAGUCCUCAAUUGUAAUUUUUAUCGCUAAUUAGAAAGCGCACCUUAAUAAUUAUUAGAAACUCCUUAAGUGGCACUUAUCACGCACUAUGAGCUGAGAUUAGUGUCCGGUUCAAAGCUGCAAAAUGAGUGAACACAAUGUGGAAUUGGGGCUGUUCGGGCUCGUGGCCAACGCUGUCGGGGUGUCCGAGCCUGCCCUGAAAUUGCUGCUGGGUGUCCUGGCAGGCUACCCCUUUGCGCUGAUCUACCGAAAGUACCUGUUCAAUCAGUCGGAGAACCGGCAGUGCCUGUACUUCAUCUCCUGCGGCCUAGUUAUUGGGCUUUGGAACUAUGGAUUCGGCAUGUUUCACUGUCUUCUGGCCAUUCUUCUAACCUACUUGGCGGUUCACUUUCUGAAGGGCCUCGCCAUGGUUGCAGUGGUUUCAGCCUUCAACUUCACCUACCUGCUUGCAGGAUACUGCUACUACAGCACGGACUCCUACGACAUCACCUGGACGAUGCCCUACUGUAUUUUAGUCUUGAGGCUAAUGGGAGUGACUUUCGAUGUGUACGACGGGACGAGGCCCAAAGAGGAACUGUCGUCAGACGCCCUGAAGACGGCGCUUCCACAGCCGCCCACUCUGCUGCAAAUGUUCGGCCACAGCCUCUUCCCCAGCGCCUGCUUAGUGGGGCCCCAGUUCAGCAUGCGGCGCUUUCUGGACUUCAUCGGCGCCCAGUUCCACUCAAAGAGCCCCGAGGGCGAACUGCUGCCCCCCGAGUCGGUCAACUGGGCGCUAGUGCGGUUUUCCAUGGGCGUUUUCUACCUGGCGUUUUUCCAGCUUUUGUCCCUGUUUGUGUAUGAUGACUACAUCAUAUCCGACGAUUUUGCCAGCAUGGGGCUCAUCAAGCGGAUGAUUUGGCUGGGCGUCUGGGGCCGCUUUAUUCUCUACAAGUACAUCUCCUGUUGGCUCUUCGCCGAAGGCGCCUGCAUUCUGUUUGGGAUUUCGCAUAAUGGCGAGGAAAACGGGGUGACCCAGUGGAACGGCGUUCAGAACAUCAAGCUGUCGGUGUUUGAAAACUCCACGGAAUUCAACCACUACAUCAUGUCCUUCAACGUCAACACCAACCAAUGGGUGGCCCAGCACGUGUACAAAAGGCUGAAGUUCCUGGGCAACAAACAUUACUCUCAAGGGGGCGUGCUGCUCUUCCUGGCGGUGUGGCACGGUCUUCAUAGCGGCUACUACGUGACGUUCUGGCACGAAUUCAUGGUGAUGCUGAUGGAACGCGACCUCCAAUCGUUGAUCAAAUCGAGCCCCGCUGCGGACGCCUUCUUGAAGAACCCCAUAGUCAAAGCCCUGCUUCAAGUGGUUCUUCGUCUCUACACCUUCAUCUUCAUGGGAUGGUCCUUGCUGCCGUUCGUCUACCUGAAAUUUCCCCGCUACUGGAAGGCGUUUUCCAACUGCAGCUUUGCCGGCGUGUUCGUCUUCUACCUGUGGCCCAUCUUGUACGGGCCCUUGUUGCGGAUGAUGGCGAAAAAACGGCGCAAAACCCAAGAAUAGGCACAAUAAGCUAAGUACUGAGGUGGAGAAAAGUCUGAUUUUCAAGCGGCAACUGGACUGGUGCAAGCAGGACAUACUGGUUGCCCUGACAACCACUAUGUCUCUCUCACUUGCACGCACAGUCACCUAACGGUUCAAAGCGUUGAAUUUACUACGGGGUGUGCCCAAUACAAUUGGACUGGAGUUCUUUUGCUGUUCGGCCAGCUUAUUAUUGGAAAAAAUCGCAUGUUUUCCACACAUCGUACUUCAACAGGGAUUUUACAUUGUCUUUUUGGUAGUGGUUGUUUUAGAUGUUUGCCCAAUUGCUAGUGGUGUAUUAGUAGGUUAGAGAGAGUGGUGAGUUGAGUGUAACAGUCGCACAAAUAAAGGUUUUUAUUGUUAGAGUUGUGAA
RNA transcript from Dendroctonus ponderosae (mountain pine beetle), 2042 nucleotides. It is a transcript of the gene named lysophospholipid acyltransferase 5, with no coding region annotated. The transcript has 10 exons. The record is from RefSeq and is a predicted model, not a curated record. NCBI's taxonomy places the organism in Eukaryota, Metazoa, Arthropoda, Insecta, Coleoptera, Curculionidae.